This 1589-nucleotide ribosomal RNA is filed under the name Triticum aestivum (bread wheat). Its description in RNAcentral is "partial small subunit ribosomal RNA". Lineage: Eukaryota; Viridiplantae; Streptophyta; Magnoliopsida; Poales; Poaceae. The record is from RNAcentral.
UGUCUUAUCAGACCUGCAAAGAGGAGGAGAACGCUUUGUCUAGAAAUCCGAGAUCGCCGAGUGUAGGUGCCAGGUGGGUGGGAUAGAGACCGGUGGCUUCGGGUAGGAGAGGGGGCGGCCGCUUUGUGAGGGUGACGGGGUCGGCUUGUGUCAGGGUUAGAGCUGUGGGUUUCCUCGUGUGGUUGCGCUCUCCGGCCUAACUCGGGUAGGGGAGGCGGUACCAGUUGCCGGGCGGCGGGUACUACCGUGACUGCGGGGGGUUAAAGGGUACGAUUGCGCACGCUCCGCCGCGGUAACCUAGCUACCGCGCGCACGCGGGAUUACCAUCCCGCCGCACGUCCUCCAGGGGGAAGAGGAGAGAGGGGGACGCGCGCGACCUCGAACUCGACCCGCCCUGCGACUCGCCCUCAAGAACGACCGUCUCCUUCUUCUGCAAGUCCAUCUUCCGCACCUGCAACCCCUCAUCGACACACCCUCCUCCCGCAGUUGCCACCCUACCCACGACCGACCGACCAUGAGCACUUGUACCACUUUUCCCUAGCCACGACGUCGCCAUCCGCAGACCACCGAUACGUCACCGUCGGCGAUGAAUCUAUGCAUCGGCCGUUACCACUCUUCUGAAACUAGAACUAUAUAAUCUACAUUCGGGGUAUGUGGUAUCCUCCUGGCGGAAAACCACUAUAGUCGGCCUACUAUUUUUUCUUCUUCUUCUACUAAGUCAAUAGUUCUCCUACAGACUUGAGACUUGGACUUCCUGUCCUUUAUUUUGUACUCCUCCUAUUACCUUCUCUUCUUCUUCGUCUGUAAUUCUAUUACUUUCUCUUACUCAUCUAUUACUCCUACCAUGACUUUCUCUUCUGCUCUACGUGGAACCGAUUCAUUUCUCAAUCUGGACUUUAACGGUUAUUUCCCUUACUCCAGGGAAAGAGAUAUCUUAUAUCUUCCGUCGAAGCGUCUCCCCAGUGACUGCUCGUUCUCUUUAUUCGGGACCUCGUACAAAGUUACUUCUGAUGACUAGAUCUUAACGGCAUACAAGUACUUGUUAAAAAACAACGACUUUAUUCAGGAUCUCGUCCGAAGCCACUCCUGAUGACUAGAUCUUCGGUAUACAAGUACUUGUUAAAAAACAACGAGACUGACUUGCCUGACAGAGACAUUAAGAACAGACAAACCCACCAGGGGUCGACGCUGUUCUACAGAAGAACGACUUGUUGCGGUGUUAACCUAUCAACAUACAAUAAAUCCUAACGGAGACAACGUAUGGUGGACCUCAAUGUUCUCCAGGACAUGAUUAAAACACAUACAUAGACAAGAUAUAUGUGUACUAAAGUUUCGUAGAAAAGGAUAUGUAAAACAAAGAAACGAGCCAUGUUUUACAUAACGUUCACAACAAGUAACAAAAAAAGGAAAAUACAUUUAUAUGAUGUCUCGGAGAUGGCCGAGUCAAAAGAAGGAAAACAGACUUAUAUAGUCUGUAAAUACAUACUACAUCACUAACAGACUACAGGAUCGUCAACCUACUUCGUUUUUUGGUGUCUUGAUUAUAACAACCGUGUAUACAAAACCCGUUUGUUGAUUUUCUUCUGAUA